AAAGCUUAUCGUCGUUGUAGACUCUUCUUCGUCUUUCCCAAACUCCUUCAUCCAUGGUGAAUUGGCUCCUUCGUCUUCCUCUGUGGCUCUUCGCCACCAUCACAUUUGCCGUCUCUCUCUCUCGCUUCUUCUUCUUAUUCCCUUCGUUUUAUCAAUUCCAAUUGCACAGAAACUAAAAUUGUAGAGGUCAUUGACCUAGAUCUGGGAAACAACAAUCUAUAAGAAACAGAAGAUGAAUCCUCAGACAAGUAUGGCUCUGCGUGAAGCCGUCAUUCAAAGAACUGUCUAUGUGUCUGAUAUCGACCAACAGGUCACUGAGGAGCAGCUUUAAUUGUUUGUUCAUCGGCUUUGGGCAGGCUGAAGAUGAGCAUGAGAUGCGUGCGAGAACUAUCUACUACACUAACAUCCACACUAAGGUGAUUCUCUAAGAUUUUCUUUCCUUCACAGCUCUAUAAUGAAACAUAAAGUAGCUAACUUUGAUGAGUUUACAUGUCACUCAAACGGACAUAAAACUCUUCUUUGAGGCUGGGUGUGGAGAGGUAUACCGUCUGAGGCUUCUGGGAGAUUAUCAUCAUCCAACUAGAAUCAGUUUCGUUGAGUUUGUCAUGGCUGAAAGUGCAGUAAGUACUCUCAAUUGCAGUGGCAUGCUUCUUGGCUCUUUACAGAUAAGG
Long non-coding RNA from Brassica oleracea var. oleracea, 671 nucleotides. RefSeq lists it as uncharacterized. Lineage: Eukaryota; Viridiplantae; Streptophyta; Magnoliopsida; Brassicales; Brassicaceae. The transcript has 4 exons. The record is from RefSeq and is a predicted model, not a curated record.